CACGUAGGGCGCAAGCGUUGUCCGGAAUUAUUGGGCGUAAAGAGCUCGUAGGCGGUCUGUUACGUCUGCUGUGAAAACCCGGGGCUUAACCCUGGGCUUGCAGUGGAUACGGGCAGACUAGAGGCAGGUAGGGGAGAAUGGAAUUCCCGGUGUAGCGGUGAAAUGCGCAGAUAUCGGGAGGAACACCGGUGGCGAAGGCGGCCAUCUGGACGGUGACUGACGCUGAGACGCGAAAGCGUGGGGAGCAAACAGG
RNAcentral lists this ribosomal RNA (253 nucleotides) under uncultured bacterium. RNAcentral's name for it is "partial 16S ribosomal RNA". It matches the Rfam family "Bacterial small subunit ribosomal RNA", at positions 524 to 776 of the family's 1533-position model. The record is from RNAcentral.